This 526-nucleotide ribosomal RNA is filed under the name uncultured euryarchaeote. RNAcentral describes it as "bacterial SSU rRNA". It matches the Rfam family "Archaeal small subunit ribosomal RNA", at positions 774 to 1299 of the family's 1478-position model. Lineage: Archaea; Methanobacteriati; Methanobacteriota. The record is from RNAcentral.
UUGCGCAUUCUUCGUGAGUGCGCAGUAUCGUAGCGAAGGCGUUAAGCUCGCCGCCUGGGAAGUAUGCUCGCAAGACUGAAACUUAAAGGAAUUGGCGGGGAAGCACUACAAGGGGUCCGGCGUGCGGUUCAAUUGAAUUCAACACCGGAAAUCUCACCAGCAGCGACGGCAGAAUGAAGGUCAGAUUGAAGGUCUUACCUAACAAGCCGAGAGGUGGUGCAUGGCCGCCGUCAGCUCGUGCCGUAAGGUGUCCAUUUAAGUAUGGUAACGAGCGAGAUCUGUGCCCACAAUUGCUAACAAGUCCUUUUGGAUGAUUGAGCACAUUGUGGGGACUGCCCUGGAAACAGGGAGGAAGGUGCAGGCUACGGUAGGUCUGUAUGCCCCGAAUCUGCUGGGCUACACGCGCGCAACAAUGGUAGGAACAAUGGGACACUACUCCGAAAGGAGACGUUAAGCCUCGAAAUCCUAUCUAAGUUCAGAUUGAGGAUUGUAACUCAUCCUCAUGACGCCGGAAUCCCUAGUAAUC